GACGAACGCUGGCGGCGUGCCUAAUACAUGCAAGUAGAACGCUGAAGGAGGAGCUUGCUUCUCUGGAUGAGUUGCGAACGGGUGAGUAACGCGUAGGUAACCUGCCUGGUAGCGGGGGAUAACUAUUGGAAACGAUAGCUAAUACCGCAUAAUAGCAGUUGUUGCAUGAUAACUGUUUGAAAGGUGCAAUUGCACCACUACCAGAUGGACCUGCGUUGUAUUAGCUAGUUGGUGGGGUAACGGCUCACCAAGGCGACGAUACAUAGCCGACCUGAGAGGGUGAUCGGCCACACUGGGACUGAGACACGGCCCAGACUCCUACGGGAGGCAGCAGUAGGGAAUCUUCGGCAAUGGACGGAAGUCUGACCGAGCAACGCCGCGUGAGUGAAGAAGGUUUUCGGAUCGUAAAGCUCUGUUGUAAGAGAAGAACGAGU
RNAcentral lists this ribosomal RNA (434 nucleotides) under Streptococcus mitis. Its description in RNAcentral is "bacterial SSU rRNA". It matches the Rfam family "Bacterial small subunit ribosomal RNA", at positions 28 to 454 of the family's 1533-position model. Lineage: Bacteria; Bacillati; Bacillota; Bacilli; Lactobacillales; Streptococcaceae. The record is from RNAcentral.